AAUAAUAGAAAUAUUUCCAAAAUCCUAUUCAAAAAAUUGUUGCAUUUUAAAUAUUUUGGAGGCAUUUUCACAUACAAAUAAUAAACCGCAUAGCAAAACGAUUUUCAGUUGCAACAACCCAACGGCAGCAGCACUCGCCGCGGUAUGGCAACCAAAUCGAAAAAGGCGUUGAAAGGCUUUAACUAAAAUAUUUGUGAAUGCAAGCGUUCUACACAGCAGUCAGAGGUGCAAUAUUCUCGUCCCGAUCUGUGUAGUCGAACAAAUAGCAACUCAAGUUUCUUUCAGAUUUCGAUUUUGCUUGUCGUCCAGAAGCUCGUGAGAACAGAAGAGCAUGCAGUUGGGCAGAGAUCGAACGAGAGCGACGGCGACGCAACCGAAUAACGAACGACAUGCAUAAACCGAAGGCAGCGAAAUAUUUGAAGCAAAUUGAAAUUAUGAAAAUUGAUUUAAUUUUAACAGAUUCUUUUAUAACAACAACUAAAAUUAUAUAAAAACCCAAGGACAACGAAAAUCAUUGAAGAGGCUAUGGAUAAGUUGACGCACACGUCUGCAAUGACAUCGGCAGCAACUAAACACACGAACUCAACAAAGAAGAGCACAACACUAUAUACUCGAUUUGCAAUGCAAGUUUUAAUUAAUGUUAUGACCUUUAUAAGCACCUGCGUAAAGACAAUUAACUUGUAUUUAAACUUUAAACAAUUAAGUAUUAACAAGUGUCGCAAUUCGGGUAAUAAAAUAAGUUUUUUGCACACCUGUGUAGGUUUUAACUAUCGAUAUAGAUAUGUAAACCUCAACGCACAAUGUUGUAAAAACAAUUGAGAGAUUAAUUUUAAUAGACAAAAAUUGAAUUUGUCAAGCCCCAAAAUAUACGCAUAAGAGUUACGAAAAGUUUCUUUAUAAAUAUAUUGUUAAGAAUAUAAUUUUGGUUUAAUAGGAGAUUUCAUAUAUUCCACAUUGUCAUCCCUGUCAUAAGAACACCUAACAAAUAUUAGAAACCUCUCAUAAAAACGACUCACCUUCAAUAUUCCUUGUAUUAAUUUGUCUCCUCUCAAAAGCUCGCGAGAAUAGGAGAGAAUGCCGUCGCGGUCACAGAUCGAACGACAACGACGACGCGUAUGUACCACCAACCGAGUAACGAACGAGGCGCAUAAACCGAAGGCAGCGAAAAACAUAAAUCAACGACAAUUGAAAUUCAGAAAUUUCAUUAAAUUUUUAACACAUUCUUUUAUAAUAACACAAUGAUAUAAUUUAGCA
Long non-coding RNA from Musca domestica (house fly), 1254 nucleotides. RefSeq lists it as uncharacterized. The record is from RefSeq and is a predicted model, not a curated record. Lineage: Eukaryota; Metazoa; Arthropoda; Insecta; Diptera; Muscidae. The transcript is spliced from 3 exons.